RNAcentral lists this ribosomal RNA (276 nucleotides) under uncultured bacterium. RNAcentral describes it as "partial 16S ribosomal RNA". It matches the Rfam family "Bacterial small subunit ribosomal RNA", at positions 79 to 353 of the family's 1533-position model. The record is from RNAcentral.
CUAAGUUUGAUGGCGACCGGCGCACGGGUGAGUAACACGUAUCCAACCUGCCGAUGACUCGGGGAUAGCCUUUCGAAAGAAAGAUUAAUACCCGAUGGCAUAGUUCUUUCCGCAUGGUGGAACUAUUAAAGAAUUUCGGUCAUCGAUGGGGAUGCGUUCCAUUAGGUUGUUGGCGGGGUAACGGCCCACCAAGCCUUCGAUGGAUAGGGGUUCUGAGAGGAAGGUCCCCCACAUUGGAACUGAGACACGGUCCAAACUCCUACGGGAGGCAGCAUG